This 416-nucleotide ribosomal RNA is filed under the name Cristaria plicata. Its description in RNAcentral is "partial 28S ribosomal RNA". Lineage: Eukaryota; Metazoa; Mollusca; Bivalvia; Unionida; Unionidae. The record is from RNAcentral.
UGGACCCGCAAUACGUCGACCCGGGGGAUUCAACCAGGCCGUUGGGCACGGGACGCGCGGGGGUUUUGCUGAGCUGUAAAGCCAGUGCCUUCGCGUGGGUCUCCGGGCGGACUGGUGCACUUUCCUCGGGUCGAUUGCCACGACCGGCUCUCCGUGCGGCCAAAAGCCUGUCGCUGGGAAGGUGACCGACGGCCCCAGUGCCGGCGGUGUUAUAGCCCAGCUCGUUCGUUGCGCUCGUCGGAGGGCCGAGGAAGUGUUGCCGCCUCUCAAUCACCCUCCGGCCAUCCUUGCUCGUCACGACUGGGGUGGACUGCUUCGUCAGUGCUCUCCCGACCGCGAGCGUAGGAAGGGUUGGAACGGUGCGAGAAGCUUCGGGCCAGUGGCGAAUCGGUCGGGUCUCCACCCGACCCGUCUUG